Molecule: unclassified non-coding RNA, 334 nt
Filed under: soil metagenome
Description: partial contains 5.8S ribosomal RNA, internal transcribed spacer 2, and large subunit ribosomal RNA
Rfam family: 5.8S ribosomal RNA (bases 1-120)
Source: RNAcentral
GAUGAAGAACGCAGCGAAAUGCGAUAAGUAGUGUGAAUUGCAGAAUUCAGUGAAUCAUCGAAUCUUUGAACGCACAUUGCGCCCUUUGGUAUUCCUUAGGGCAUGCCUGUUCGAGCGUCAUUUAAACCUUCAAGCUCAGCUUGGUGUUGGGUGACUGUCCGCUUCACCGCGGGCUCGCCUCAAAAUUAUUGGCGGCCGGUACAUUGGCUCUCGAGCGCAGCAGAAACGCGUAACUCGAGGUCCUCGUGCUGGCUCCCAGAAGCUAUCUUCACAAUUUUGACCUCGGAUCAGGUAGGGAUACCCGCUGAACUUAAGCAUAUCAAUAAGCGGAGGA